Molecule: ribosomal RNA, 500 nt
Filed under: uncultured bacterium
Lineage: Bacteria
Description: partial 16S ribosomal RNA
Rfam family: Bacterial small subunit ribosomal RNA
Source: RNAcentral
AUUGAACGCUGGCGGAAUGCUCUACACACGCAAGUCGAACGGCAGCACGGACUUCGGUCUGGUGGCGAGUGGCGAACGGGUGAGUAAUGUAUCGGAACGUGCCCAGUCGUGGGGGAUAACGUAGUGAAAAUUACGCUAAUACCGCAUACGAUCUAUGGAUGAAAGCGGGGGAUCGCAAGACCUCGCGCGAUUGGAGCGGCCGAUAUCAGAUUAGGUAGUUGGUGGGGUAAAGGCCCACCAAGCCAACGAUCUGUAGCUGGUCUGAGAGGACGACCAGCCACACUGGAACUGAGACACGGUCCAGACUCCUACGGGAGGCAGCAGUGGGGAAUUUUGGACAAUGGGCGAAAGCCUGAUCCAGCCAUUCCGCGUGCAGGAUGAAGGCCCUCGGGUUGUAAACUGCUUUUGUACAGAACGAAAAGGUCUCUACUAAUACUAGGAGCUCAUGACGGUACUGUAAGAAUAAGCACCGGCUAACUACGUGCCAGCAGCCGCCGUAA